RNAcentral lists this ribosomal RNA (500 nucleotides) under uncultured bacterium. Its description in RNAcentral is "bacterial SSU rRNA". It matches the Rfam family "Bacterial small subunit ribosomal RNA", at positions 28 to 521 of the family's 1533-position model. The record is from RNAcentral.
GACGAACGCUGGCGGCGUGGAUUAGGCAUGCAAGUCGAACGGUAUCAUCCUUUCGGGGGUGAGAGAGUGGCGAACUGGUGAGUAACACGUAGGUUAUCUACCCUCAAGACGGGGACAACCCAGGGAAACUUGGGCUAAUACCGGAUGUGAGCAACUUUUAGUUGUUUGAAAGGUGGCGUAAGCUGUCGCUUGGGGAUGAGCCUGCGUCCUAUAGUUAGUUGGUGAGGUAACGGCUCACCUAGGCAAUGAUAGGUAGGCGGCCUUAACGGGUGGUCGCCCACACUGGGAUUGAGAUACGGCCCAGACUCCUACGGGAGGCAGCAGUCGAGAAUAGUCUACAAUGGUCGGAAGACUGAUAGUGCGACGCCGCGUGAACGAUGAAUCCCUUCGGGGUGUAAAGUUCUUUUAUAUGUGAGCAGUGCUUCUUAUAUUAACAGUAUGGGGAGAGAGAUAUUAGCAUAUGAAUAAGCAACGGCUAACUCCGUGCCAGCAGCCGCGGU